This 744-nucleotide ribosomal RNA is filed under the name uncultured bacterium. RNAcentral describes it as "bacterial SSU rRNA". It matches the Rfam family "Bacterial small subunit ribosomal RNA", at positions 8 to 796 of the family's 1533-position model. The record is from RNAcentral.
AGAGUUUGAUCCUGGCUCAGAACGAACGCUGGCGGCAGGCCUCAAACAUGCAAGUCUAGGGGGUGUAGCAAUACAUCACCGGCGGACGGGUGCGUAACGCGUGGGAAUGUACCUAUUGGUUCGGAACAACUGAGGGAAACUUCAGCUAAUACCGAAUGAGCCCGUAAGGGGAAAGAUUUCUCGCCAAUAGAUCAGCCCGCGUCCGAUUAGCUAGUUGGUGGGGUAAUGGCCUACCAAGGCAACGAUCGGUAGCUGUUCUGAGAGGAAGAUCAGCCACACUGGGACUGAGACACGGCCCAGACUCCUACGGGAGGCAGCAGUUGGGAAUCUUGGACAAUGGGGGAAACCCUGAUCCAGCCAUGCCGCGUGAGUGAUGAAGGCCUUCGGGUUGUAAAACUCUUUCGACGGGGACGAUAAUGACGGUACCCGUAGAAGAAGCUCCGGCUAACUUCGUGCCAGCAGCCGCGGUAAUACGAAGGGGGCUAGCGUUGUUCGGAAUUACUGGGCGUAAAGCGCGCGCAGGCUGUCCUCCAAGUCAGUGGUGAAAGCCCGGAGCUCAACUCCGGAAUUGCCAUUGAAACUGUGGGACUGGAGUACGAGAGAGGUGAGUGGAAUUCCCAGUGUAGAGGUGAAAUUCGUAGAUAUUGGGAAGAACACCAGUGGCGAAGGCGGCUCACUGGCUCGUAACUGACGCUCAGGCGCGACAGCGUGGGGAUCAAACAGGAUUAGAUACCCUAGUAGUCC